UACGUAGGGUGCAAGCGUUGUCCGGAAUUAUUGGGCGUAAAGAGCGUGUAGGCGGCCACACAGGUCUGCUGUGAAAACUCGAGGCUCAACCUCGAGCUGUCGGUGGAAACCGUGUGGCUAGAGUCCGGAAGAGGAGAGUGGAAUUCCCGGUGUAGCGGUGAAAUGCGCAGAUAUCGGGAAGAACACCCGUGGCGAAGGCGGCUCUCUGGACCGAUACUGACGCUGAGGCGCGAAAGCGUGGGGAGCAAACAGG
Molecule: ribosomal RNA, 253 nt
Filed under: uncultured bacterium
Lineage: Bacteria
Description: partial 16S ribosomal RNA
Rfam family: Bacterial small subunit ribosomal RNA
Source: RNAcentral